AUGGUAGGAGAGCGUUCUAAGGGCGUUGAAGCAUGAUCGUAAGGACAUGUGGAGCGCUUAGAAGUGAGAAUGCCGGUGUGAGUAGCGAAAGACGGAUGAGAAUCCCGUCCACCGAUUGACUAAGGUUUCCAGAGGAAGGCUCGUCCGCUCUGGGUUAGUCGGGUCCUAAGCUGAGGCCGACAGGCGUAGGCGAUGGAUAACAGGUUGAUAUUCCUGUACCACCUAUAAUCGUUUUAAUCGAUGGGGGGACGCAGUAGGAUAGGCGAAGCGUGCGAUUGGAUUGCACGUCUAAGCAGUAAGGCUGAGUAUUAGGCAAAUCCGGUACUCGUUAAGGCUGAGCUGUGAUGGGGAGAAGACAUUGAGUCUUCGAGUCGUUGAUUUCACACUGCCGAGAAAAGCCUCUAGAUAGAAAAUAGGUGCCCGUACCGCAAACCGACACAGGUAGUCAAGAUGAGAAUUCUAAGGUGAGCGAGCGAACUCUCGUUAAGGAACUCGGCAAAAUGACCCCGUAACUUCGGGAGAAGGGGUGCUCUUUAGGGUUAACGCCCAGAAGAGCCGCAGUGAAUAGGCCCAAGCGACUGUUUAUCAAAAACACAGGUCUCUGCUAAACCGUAAGGUGAUGUAUAGGGGCUGACGCCUGCCCGGUGCUGGAAGGUUAAGAGGAGUGGUUAGCUUCUGCGAAGCUACGAAUCGAAGCCCCAGUAAACGGCGGCCGUAACUAUAACGGUCCUAAGGUAGCGAAAUUCCUUGUCGGGUAAGUUCCGACCCGCACGAAAGGCGUAACGAUUUGGGCACUGUCUCAACGAGAGACUCGGUGAAAUCAUAGUACCUGUGAAGAUGCAGGUUACCCGCGACAGGACGGAAAGACCCCGUGGAGCUUUACUGUAGCCUGAUAUUGAAAUUCGGCACAGCUUGUACAGGAUAGGUAGGAGCCUUUGAAACGUGAGCGCUAGCUUACGUGGAGGCGCUGGUGGGAUACUACCCUAGCUGUGUUGGCUUUCUAACCCGCACCACUUAUCGUGGUGGGAGACAGUGUCAAGCGGGCAGUUUGACUGGGGCGGUCGCCUCCUAAAAGGUAACGGAGGCGCUCAAAGGUUCCCUCAGAAUGGUUGGAAAUCAUUCAUAGAGUGUAAAGGCAUAAGGGAGCUUGACUGCGAGACCUACAAGUCGAGCAGGGUCGAAAGACGGACUUAGUGAUCCGGUGGUUCCGCAUGGAAGGGCCAUCGCUCAACGGAUAAAAGCUACCCCGGGGAUAACAGGCUUAUCUCCCCCAAGAGUUCACAUCGACGGGGAGGUUUGGCACCUCGAUGUCGGCUCAUCGCAUCCUGGGGCUGUAGUCGGUCCCAAGGGUUGGGCUGUUCGCCCAUUAAAGCGGUACGCGAGCUGGGUUCAGAACGUCGUGAGACAGUUCGGUCCCUAUCCGUCGUGGGCGUAGGAAAUUUGAGAGGAGCUGUCCUUAGUACGAGAGGACCGGGAUGGACAUACCUCUGGUGUACCAGUUGUCGUGCCAACGGCAUAGCUGGGUAGCUAUGUGUGGACGGGAUAAGUGCUGAAAGCAUCUAAGCAUGAAGCCCCCCUCAAGAUGAGAUUUCCCAACUUCGGUUAUAAGAUCCCUCAAAGAUGAUGAGGUUAAUAGGUUCGAGGUGGAAGCAUGGUGACAUGUGGAGCUGACGAAUACUAAUCGAUCGAAGACUUAAUCAA
This 1701-nucleotide ribosomal RNA is filed under the name Staphylococcus aureus M0031. Its description in RNAcentral is "bacterial LSU rRNA". It matches the Rfam family "Bacterial large subunit ribosomal RNA", at positions 1225 to 2925 of the family's 2925-position model. Lineage: Bacteria; Bacillati; Bacillota; Bacilli; Caryophanales; Staphylococcaceae. The record is from RNAcentral.